UACGAAGGGGGCUAGCGUUGUUCGGAAUCACUGGGCGUAAAGGGCGCGUAGGCGGCUUUAUAAGUCGGGGGUGAAAGCCUGUGGCUCAACCACAGAAUUGCCUUCGAUACUGUAGAGCUUGAGACCGGAAGAGGUAAGUGGAACUGCGAGUGUAGAGGUGAGAUUCGUAGAUAUUCGCAAGAACACCAGUGGCGAAGGCGGCUUACUGGACGAUGACUGACGCUGAGACACGAAAGCGUGGGGAGCAAACAGG
RNAcentral lists this ribosomal RNA (253 nucleotides) under uncultured bacterium. Its description in RNAcentral is "partial 16S ribosomal RNA". It matches the Rfam family "Bacterial small subunit ribosomal RNA", at positions 524 to 776 of the family's 1533-position model. The record is from RNAcentral.